RNAcentral lists this ribosomal RNA (467 nucleotides) under uncultured bacterium. Its description in RNAcentral is "partial 16S ribosomal RNA". It matches the Rfam family "Bacterial small subunit ribosomal RNA", at positions 28 to 507 of the family's 1533-position model. The record is from RNAcentral.
GAUGAACGCUGGCGGCGUGCUUAACACAUGCAAGUCGAACGGAAAGGCCCAAGCUUGCUUGGGUACUCGAGUGGCGAACGGGUGAGUAACACGUGGGUGAUCUGCCCUGCACUUCGGGAUAAGCCUGGGUAACUGGGUCUAAUACCGGAUAGGACGAUGGUUUGGAUGCCAUUGUGGAAAGUUUUUUCGGUGUGGGAUGAGCUCGCGGCCUAUCAGCUUGUUGGUGGGGUAAUGGCCUACCAAGGCGUCGACGGGUAGCCGGCCUGAGAGGGUGUACGGCCACAUUGGGACUGAGAUACGGCCCAGACUCCUACGGGAGGCAGCAGUGGGGAAUAUUGCACAAUGGGCGCAAGCCUGAUGCAGCGACGCCGCGUGGGGGAUGACGGCCUUCGGGUUGUAAACUCCUUUCGCUAGGGACGAAGCGUUUUGUGACGGUACCUGGAGAAGAAGCACCGGCUAACUACGUG